CAGGCCUAACACAUGCAAGUCGAACGAGUAAGAGCCGUAGCAAUACGGAGUUCUGCUAGUGGCGCACGGGUGAGUAACGCGUGGGAACGUGCCUUGGAGUUCGGGAUAACAGUUGGAAACGACUGCUAAUACCGAAUAUUCCCUCAGGGGGAAAGAUUUAUCGCUCCAAGAUCGGCCCGCGUAAGAUUAGGUAGUUGGUGGGGUAAUGGCCUACCAAGCCUACGAUCUUUAGCUGGUCUGAGAGGACGACCAGCCACACUGGAACUGAGACACGGUCCAGACUCCUACGGGAGGCAGCAGUGGGAAUAUUGGACAAUGGGCGAAAGCCUGAUCCAGCCAUGCCGCGUGAAUGAUGAAGGCCUUAGGUUGUAAAAUUCUUUUGCAGGGGAAGAUAAUGACGGUACCCUGCGAAUAAGCUCCGGCUAACUUCGUG
This 433-nucleotide ribosomal RNA is filed under the name uncultured bacterium. Its description in RNAcentral is "bacterial SSU rRNA". It matches the Rfam family "Bacterial small subunit ribosomal RNA", at positions 43 to 507 of the family's 1533-position model. The record is from RNAcentral.